GUAACAUUUCUAGCUUGCUAGAAGAUGACGAGCGGCGGACGGGUGAGUAAUACUUAGGAAUCUACCUAGUAGUGGGGGAUAGCUCGGGGAAACUCGAAUUAAUACCGCAUACGACCUACGGGAGAAAGGGGGCAACUUGUUGCUCUCGCUAUUAGAUGAGCCUAAGUCGGAUUAGCUAGAUGGUGGGGUAAAGGCCUACCAUGGCGACGAUCUGUAGCUGGUCUGAGAGGAUGAUCAGCCACACCGGGACUGAGACACGGCCCGGACUCCUACGGGAGGCAGCAGUGGGGAAUAUUGGACAAUGGGGGAAACCCUGAUCCAGCCAUGCCGCGUGUGUGAAGAAGGCCUUUUGGUUGUAAAGCACUUUAAGCAGUGAAGAAGACUCUUCGGUUAAUACCCGGAGACGAUGACAUUAGCUGCAGAAUAAGCACCGGCUAACUCUGUGCCAGCAGCCGCGGUAAUACAGAGGGUGCAAGCGUUAAUCGGAAUUACUGGGCGUAAAGCGAGCGUAGGUGGCUUGAUAAGUCAGAUGUGAAAUCCCCGGGCUUAACCUGGGAACUGCAUCUGAUACUGUCAGGCUAGAGUAGGUGAGAGGAAGGUAGAAUUCCAGGUGUAGCGGUGAAAUGCGUAGAGAUCUGGAGGAAUACCGAUGGCGAAGGCA
This 661-nucleotide ribosomal RNA is filed under the name Psychrobacter sp. Y4_288_4. RNAcentral describes it as "bacterial SSU rRNA". It matches the Rfam family "Bacterial small subunit ribosomal RNA", at positions 69 to 723 of the family's 1533-position model. The record is from RNAcentral. Lineage: Bacteria; Pseudomonadati; Pseudomonadota; Gammaproteobacteria; Moraxellales; Moraxellaceae.